Molecule: ribosomal RNA, 253 nt
Filed under: uncultured bacterium
Lineage: Bacteria
Description: partial 16S ribosomal RNA
Rfam family: Bacterial small subunit ribosomal RNA
Source: RNAcentral
UACGUAGGGACCAAGCGUUGUUCGGAUUUACUGGGCGUAAAGGGCGCGUAGGCGGCGCGGUAAGUCACUUGUGAAAUCUCUGAGCUUAACUCAGAACGGCCAAGUGAUACUGCAGUGCUAGAGUGUGGGAGAGGUGAGUGGAAUUCCCGGUGUAGCGGUGAAAUGCGUAGAUAUCAAGUGGAACACCAGUGGCGAAGGCGAGUCUCUGGACAUUUCCUGACGCUGAGGCACGAAAGCCAGGGGAGCAAACGGG